UAGGGCUAUCUGAGACUCUGAACAAUUCUCACAUCUGAAUUGUUCCACAGCUGUCACACUGGUAACCAUGUGGAAUGUCUUCCAUCAAGCUAUAUUACCCAUUCCCUUUGAAGUCUGGAGUCCCAUGCCAGCACUUUCAGACAUCAGGGAGCUUUCUUGGAGGUAUCGAGGCCAAGUGUGACUGCCAGGAAGGAGCUGGGAGCAGCCAAAGAGACUGAGCAUGUCAGACUUCUCUCCCAGCCUGCCACACACACUUAAAACCCAAAGGAAAUAAGCAGGGAUCAGUGGGAGGAAGGGAGCCAACCAGGUGAGCAACCACAUCUGUCUGAAGUCUAAAGGCAACAGGAAAGGAUCCCUGGCAUUUAGAUUUGUUU
Molecule: long non-coding RNA, 374 nt
Filed under: Vombatus ursinus (common wombat)
Lineage: Eukaryota; Metazoa; Chordata; Mammalia; Diprotodontia; Vombatidae
Description: lncRNA (ENSVURG00010001442.1)
Source: RNAcentral